GGAAGUGACGUACUCGGGCGGAGACUCGCGUGUGUCGUCACUCUGAGUGCACCGCAUGCCUACUCCUUCUCUCGCUGCUGGUUCGGGUGCUGGGACCUGGUCCCGCUUGCAAAAGCUCCCACGGACCAGAGAAAAGAGGAUGUCAGACGUAGAAACAAAUGGCGUGUCAGGUUUCGCAGGAAGAGAGGGAAGAGUGAAGCUCCGGGAGCCAGCCACGAUUGGUCGCGCCUUCUGUGACGUCCAACGGCAGAGGUCAAAGGGAUUCCUGGGGCAACCUCAAGGGAAAGAAUUCUGGCGCGGAGGGCCGGUGUACAGUACUUUAGAUAUGGCAGUGGUUGUGUCUGAAAUUAUCGUGUUUUUCUGUUUAACCUGUUGCUUGUCUCUUCAUCGCCUUUCUAUAUAAUGUAAGACCAGAGGCUUUAUGUAGUGAAUUUCCUGUAACUCCGGCUCCGUGGACAAAUAGGUAUUAAAGUAUUUGUUUCUUGAAGUAAUCCUCUGAAUUAACCUGCUCACAUGUAAAAAAUAAUAACCGGCUGCGAAACGCCAGUAAUAACCGCCAAACGUUUGUUAGACAUUUACAGUGUGCCAGGGACUGCAUUUUACGUGUAUUAUCACAUUCCUCAGAACAGCCUAAUGAGGUAUAUAUUACUAGAAUGCCUAUUUUUCAGAUGAGGAAACUGAUGCAUAGAAAGGAUAAUUUACUCAAGAGCGAGGAAGUAGCAAGCAUAAAAUCCAAGUACAUUUUUUCUGCAUGUAUUAAUAGGUACAGUGAAGUAAUUUUUUAAAUUGCUGUAGGUAUCAAUUAUAGUCUUAAUUCCCAGUAAUUCACUUACUAAGAAAUAUUUUCUGCUUCUCUUUCAUCAUUCAUGGAGAGAUACAUAUCCCUAAAUAUUUAGCACAUUUAAAACUUAAACUUGUUGGGUGUGGUGGCUUAUGCCUGUAAUCAUGGCGUUUUGGGAGGCUCAGGUGGGAGGAUUGCUUGAGUCCAGGAGUUCCAGGCCAGCCUGGGCCACAUGGUAAGACCCCAUAUCUACAAAAAAUAAAAAAAUUUAGCCAGGCAUGGUAGUGCCUCUGUAGUACUAGCUACUCGGGAGGCUGAGGUGGUAGGAUCACUGGCGCCCAGCAAUUCCAGCCUGCAAUUAGGUAGGAUUACCACACUGCACUUCAGCCUGAGUGACAGAAUGGGACCAUGUCUGAAAAAAUAAAAAUAAAACUUGCAGAUAUGUUCUGAAUGUUUAUUGUAUGCAUCCUCUAUGAUGUAUCAUUUUAUUGGAAAUUAUUGCAUUGUCUACAAAAAUAUGAAGAACUCUGAAGAUGCCAAAAGAUAAACCGUGAAAGAGUACUAGAAGUGAGCUCCUUAAAAAGAUAAAGCUGAGAAGUGUUUCCCAAUUUUUCUUAUUUAUGUAUGUAAUACUUUAGAAACUGAAUUUCAGAGCUGGGAGGAAACUUUAAAGUUAGUCCAGUUCUUUCGUGUUAGUGCCAAGAAAGCUGAUCAGAAAGAGAUUAAAUGACUUGCCCAAAAUUGAAUAGUCUUAAAUCUGAGCUGAGGCAGGCGUCUGAAUGUCUUAAAUUAGAGUUAAAUGUAUUAGCGUCAUAGUAUUAACAUCAUCAUAUUCCAUAUCUCUCAAAUCUGAUUUGAUUUUCAUUACAAUAGAGAAAUAAGUGUGAUUAGUAUUAUCCCCAUUUCCUUCACAUUGUUUUAGUGGCACAUUGUUUUAGUAUCAAAAGCAGCUACCUUGGGAGGCACAUUGUUUUAGUAUCAAAAGCAGCUACCUUGGGAGAAUCUGGGGCUAGAACCUGACCUCAUUUCAAGUUUUACUCUUGUUGCACCAAAACCUUGGGUGAGUUAGUUUUUCAGCCUCAGUCCCCUCAUCAGGAAAAUGCUGUGUUAGCACUUUCUGUGAAGAAUGAUCAAGGGAGUGGAGAUUAUAGAGAUUAUAAACACACUUGACACAGAGUAAGUGUUUAAGAACUGGUAGCUGAUUUUUACAAAGUUAUGGGUCAUAGAAGGCAGUUUAGAGCGCGGGCUUUGGAGUAGCUCAGAGUUGUAUUAUAACCUUGGCUUCUUUACUCACCUAGGACAUAGACUCUCUCUUUAGCUGUAGCUUACUGCCCUCUGAGAUGGAAAUUAUAAACCAUCUCGCAAUGUGGUGAGGAUUGUAGCUCAAGUGUGUAAAAUGCCUCCUCUGUGGGCUCUCCUUGGAGAGUUCUUGUAUCCUAUUGAUUGUCAUCAAAGGAAAAAAGUGGCAGGAUGAUGGUGUAAGUGGGAAGAACCUUGAGUUUAAUAGUCUGAAAAAGUGGUUACAGGUUCUUGCUGUGCUUUUCCUCUCUGGUUUUCUGAACCCAUCGCCUAACCUGAAGCCUUAAACUUCAUCUGCAAAAAUGUUUUGUGGCAGGUGCCUCUGAAGCAGAACUCUUGAGAUGGAAGGAUUGUCAUCUGAGGAAAAAAAAUCAAGAUUAAGAGAGGAGGAACUGGAAUGAGAUUCACAUACCCUCUCUCCUCCACAGGAAGGAGAGAGUGGUGAUGCCUGCCCACUCCUUCCUGGGCAGAACGUUUGUAGCAUGGAACAUUGGAGAAUUUGCAGUCUGCUGACUUUCUGAUUUAGGAGGUUGAUGAGGAGGCCUUAUAAUUUGCAUUUCUAACAAGUUCUGAGGUGAUGCUUCAAGUAUGUCCAGGCAGAAGGGCCACCUCACAGAGAUUUCUGCCAUACCACGUGGGAAUUGAAGUCACAGACAUCUCCAACCCUCAAGCCUGAAACCAAAAGACUGAAAACCAACACUACAGUGGACAAAGAACAUCUCAGAACUUCUGUGGGGACUAGUGACACAAGGACCUAAGGUCUCUCUCGUCUCAUCUUGGCACUUCAGAAGUCUCCCCAAUCUUGACAAAGCCCUGGAGAAAGGGGCGGAUCUCCCGUUGAUAAGAUUAUCACUGCAGAUAAAUGGAGGUUUCAAAUUGAAAGAAAGGAGGAGGGCCUCCUGUUGAUAAGAUUAUUGCCACUGCAGGUAAAUGGAGGUUUCAAAUAGAAAUACGUUUCAGUUACAGAAAAAAAAAUUAUCUUUGUUACACAUUUGAGUUUGCAGGCCUAAGGUUACUCCUGCUACACUAUCAUCUGUAACCAUAAGGCACUCAACAUUUUAAGCUAACUAUAAGGAUUUUUGCUUCACUCAAAGAUCUUGAGGUUUUAUUCACUUAACAUUUUUAUUUGGUGACUAUAGUUGACAAGAACAAAGCUGUGGGGAACCAACAAACACUAAUGCCUGGCAUUGUCACCUCAGUAGAUUGUGAGUUCCUCUGGGACAGGGUCCAUACAUUUUCUUCAAAUCCAUCACUUAGCCAUUAGCCUGCACAGUGCUUGUACUUAGUAAGUGCUCGGUAAAUGUUUGUGGAAUGAAUGCAUGAUGAACAAAAUAUAUACUGAGGACUCUGGUGUUGAUUCUUGUUGAUAAUGUAAUAGUUAAGAUAUGAUAUAAAUAUUGUAUCAAAA
This is a long non-coding RNA of Symphalangus syndactylus (siamang), 3488 nucleotides long. RefSeq lists it as uncharacterized. The record is from RefSeq and is a predicted model, not a curated record. NCBI's taxonomy places the organism in Eukaryota, Metazoa, Chordata, Mammalia, Primates, Hylobatidae.